GGGUUGUGAGGUUAAGCGACUAAGCGUACACGGUGGAUGCCCUGGCAGUCAGAGGCGAUGAAGGACGUGCUAAUCUGCGAUAAGCGUCGGUAAGGUGAUAUGAACCGUUAUAACCGGCGAUUUCCGAAUGGGGAAACCCAGUGUGUUUCGACACACUAUCAUUAACUGAAUCCAUAGGUUAAUGAGGCGAACCGGGGGAACUGAAACAUCUAAGUACCCCGAGGAAAAGAAAUCAACCGAGAUUCCCCCAGUAGCGGCGAGCGAACGGGGAGGAGCCCAGAGCCUGAAUCAGUGUGUGUGUUAGUGGAAGCGUCUGGAAAGGCGCGCGAUACAGGGUGACAGCCCCGUACACAAAAAUGCACAUGCUGUGAGCUCGAUGAGUAGGGCGGGACACGUGGUAUCCUGUCUGAAUAUGGGGGGACCAUCCUCCAAGGCUAAAUACUCCUGACUGACCGAUAGUGAACCAGUACCGUGAGGGAAAGGCGAAAAGAACCCCGGCGAGGGGAGUGAAAAAGAACCUGAAACCGUGUACGUACAAGCAGUGGGAGCCUCUUUUAUGGGGUGACUGCGUACCUUUUGUAUAAUGGGUCAGCGACUUAUAUUCUGUAGCAAGGUUAACCGAAUAGGGGAGCCGAAGGGAAACCGAGUCUUAACUGGGCGUUAAGUUGCAGGGUAUAGACCCGAAACCCGGUGAUCUAGCCAUGGGCAGGUUGAAGGUUGGGUAACACUAACUGGAGGACCGAACCGACUAAUGUUGAAAAAUUAGCGGAUGACUUGUGGCUGGGGGUGAAAGGCCAAUCAAACCGGGAGAUAGCUGGUUCUCCCCGAAAGCUAUUUAGGUAGCGCCUCGUGAAUUCAUCUCCGGGGGUAGAGCACUGUUUCGGCAAGGGGGUCAUCCCGACUUACCAACCCGAUGCAAACUGCGAAUACCGGAGAAUGUUAUCACGGGAGACACACGGCGGGUGCUAACGUCCGUCGUGAAGAGGGAAACAACCCAGACCGCCAGCUAAGGUCCCAAAGUCAUGGUUAAGUGGGAAACGAUGUGGGAAGGCCCAGACAGCCAGGAUGUUGGCUUAGAAGCAGCCAUCAUUUAAAGAAAGCGUAAUAGCUCACUGGUCGAGUCGGCCUGCGCGGAAGAUGUAACGGGGCUAAACCAUGCACCGAAGCUGCGGCAGCGACGCUUAUGCGUUGUUGGGUAGGGGAGCGUUCUGUAAGCCUGUGAAGGUGUGCUGUGAGGCAUGCUGGAGGUAUCAGAAGUGCGAAUGCUGACAUAAGUAACGAUAAAGCGGGUGAAAAGCCCGCUCGCCGGAAGACCAAGGGUUCCUGUCCAACGUUAAUCGGGGCAGGGUGAGUCGACCCCUAAGGCGAGGCCGAAAGGCGUAGUCGAUGGGAAACAGGUUAAUAUUCCUGUACUUGGUGUUACUGCGAAGGGGGGACGGAGAAGGCUAUGUUGGCCGGGCGACGGUUGUCCCGGUUUAAGCGUGUAGGCUGGUUUUCCAGGCAAAUCCGGAAAAUCAAGGCUGAGGCGUGAUGACGAGGCACUACGGUGCUGAAGCAACAAAUGCCCUGCUUCCAGGAAAAGCCUCUAAGCAUCAGGUAACAUCAAAUCGUACCCCAAACCGACACAGGUGGUCAGGUAGAGAAUACCAAGGCGCUUGAGAGAACUCGGGUGAAGGAACUAGGCAAAAUGGUGCCGUAACUUCGGGAGAAGGCACGCUGAUAUGUAGGUGAAGCGACUUGCUCGUGGAGCUGAAAUCAGUCGAAGAUACCAGCUGGCUGCAACUGUUUAUUAAAAACACAGCACUGUGCAAACACGAAAGUGGACGUAUACGGUGUGACGCCUGCCCGGUGC
RNAcentral lists this ribosomal RNA (1852 nucleotides) under Escherichia coli. RNAcentral describes it as "partial 23S ribosomal RNA". It matches the Rfam family "Bacterial large subunit ribosomal RNA", at positions 1 to 1869 of the family's 2925-position model. Lineage: Bacteria; Pseudomonadati; Pseudomonadota; Gammaproteobacteria; Enterobacterales; Enterobacteriaceae. The record is from RNAcentral.